UACGUAGGGAGCGAGCGUUGUCCGGAUUCAUUGGGCGUAAAGAGCUCGUAGGCGGCUUGGUAAGUCGGAUGUGAAACCUCCAGGCUCAACCUGGAGUCGCCAUCCGAUACUGCCAUGGCUAGAGUCCGGUAGGGGCCCACGGAAUUCCUGGUGUAGCGGUGAAAUGCGCAGAUAAUCAGGAGGAACACCGAUGGCGAAGGCAG
This 203-nucleotide ribosomal RNA is filed under the name uncultured bacterium. RNAcentral's name for it is "partial 16S ribosomal RNA". It matches the Rfam family "Bacterial small subunit ribosomal RNA", at positions 524 to 724 of the family's 1533-position model. The record is from RNAcentral.